GGGGGCUAUAUUAUUAUAGGAGGUCGAUGAAAGUGAAUAUGCUCAUUUUUCAAACAAAUUGAUGUCACGAAUCUAUUCCGUGGAAAUCCGUUAAAGGGCUUAACUUGAGGUCAACCAUAUCAUUGAAGAAGUUGAGUAUUUUUUUUUUUUUUUUUUUUUAUCAAAGUAAAGGCCAACACCAAAAUGAUUCUCGACACAUUAAAAGAAUGCAAAUAAUUUUAAAUUAGGGUGAAUUUUAAAAAUUACC
RNAcentral lists this long non-coding RNA (247 nucleotides) under Salvia miltiorrhiza (redroot sage). Its description in RNAcentral is "long non-coding RNA (SMIL_LNC011730)". Lineage: Eukaryota; Viridiplantae; Streptophyta; Magnoliopsida; Lamiales; Lamiaceae. The record is from RNAcentral.